RNAcentral lists this unclassified non-coding RNA (171 nucleotides) under fungal sp. RNAcentral describes it as "partial contains small subunit ribosomal RNA, internal transcribed spacer 1, and 5.8S ribosomal RNA". The stretch from base 1 to 46 matches the Rfam family "Eukaryotic small subunit ribosomal RNA", at positions 1786 to 1831 of the family's 1831-position model. Lineage: Eukaryota; Fungi. The record is from RNAcentral.
AAGUCGUAACAAGGUUUCCGUAGGUGAACCUGCGGAAGGAUCAUUAUAGAUAUAAGCUCUCGGGCUUUUAACACCUCUGUGCACCGUGGCUUCGGCCUACACACACAAUUGUCUCUGAAUGUAAUACAUUAUAAACAAAUAAAACUUUCAACAACGGAUCUCUUGGCUCUC